UCUCCCGCGCUGGCGGCUGGGGCUUCUCAGCCUCUAUUCCCUGGCUGUCCCCUUUGUUUGAAGCUCCAGUGAGGGAGCAGUGGCUGGGGUGGCCCAGCUUCAAAGUCUCUGUCCUCUUGAAAAGAGGUGGUCGGGGGACAUUGACCCACCAGCCCCGCAGGCUACUGCCUGCAAACAAGAACCCCUCAUCUGCCACGCACGUUCUUAAUGUAUCUAUAGUCCGCCUGAUGCCACAAAGGAGUCCAGACAGGGUCUCGCUCUGUCACACAGGCUGGAGUGCAGUGGUGUGAUCUUGGCUCAUCGUAACCUCCACCU
RNAcentral lists this small RNA (315 nucleotides) under Pan troglodytes (chimpanzee). RNAcentral describes it as "processed transcript". Lineage: Eukaryota; Metazoa; Chordata; Mammalia; Primates; Hominidae. The record is from RNAcentral.